AUCAUCUUCAUCUGGACUCUCACAGCGUUUGCUCAAGAGUGUAGAGGACAGAUCACCGUCACUCAGAGUCCCUCAAUGACAGCAGCUCAACCAGGACAAACUGUGAACAUCAACUGUAAAACCAGCACAGAUGUGUAUUAUAGUAGUUCUUAUGGACAUUAUUUAGCCUGGUACUUACAGAAACCUGGAGAAGCUCCUAAACUCCUGAUUUAUUUAGCAAGCACCCUCCAGUCAGGAACUCCAUCUAGAUUCAGUGGCAGUGGAUCUAACAGUGAUUUCACUCUGACCAUCAGUGGAGUCCAGACUGAAGAUGCUGGACAUUAUUACUGUAUGAGUGAACACUGUCCUAGUAGCUGUGUGUUCACACAGUGAUGAAGAGUCGUACAAAAACCUCCGUCAGUCAGAGUCACAGUGACUGAACUGAUACUGCAGCUGCUCAA
Non-coding RNA from Megalobrama amblycephala (Wuchang bream), 440 nucleotides. The record is from the annotation of a RefSeq genome assembly. Lineage: Eukaryota; Metazoa; Chordata; Actinopteri; Cypriniformes; Xenocyprididae.